This 74-nucleotide transfer RNA is filed under the name Bacteroidota bacterium. RNAcentral's name for it is "Bacteroidetes bacterium (groundwater metagenome) tRNA-Asn". It matches the Rfam family "tRNA". Rfam says of the family: Transfer RNA (tRNA) molecules are approximately 80 nucleotides in length. Their secondary structure includes four short double-helical elements and three loops (D, anti-codon, and T loops). Lineage: Bacteria; Pseudomonadati; Bacteroidota. The record is from RNAcentral.
UCCUCGAUAGCUCAGUUGGUUAGAGCAUCUGACUGUUAAUCAGAGGGUCGUAGGUUCAAGUCCUACUCGAGGAG